Cricetulus griseus (Chinese hamster) is the source of this 119-nucleotide ribosomal RNA. NCBI's taxonomy places the organism in Eukaryota, Metazoa, Chordata, Mammalia, Rodentia, Cricetidae. The record is from Ensembl.
GUCUAUGGUCAUACCAUCCUGAACUCACCUGAUUUCAUCUGAUCUAGGAAUCUAAGCAGGGUCAGAGCUGAUUAGUACUUGGAUGGGAGACCAUACAAUUGCUCAACAAUUCUUUCUCU